GAAAUAAACAGCCUUGUUGCUCACACAAAGCCUGUUUGGUGGUCUCUUCACACGGAUGCGCGUGAAACCCUGUGCAUGCUGACAGAAUAUAUUUUGCACUACAAAAGAAGAAAUCCAAGCUUGUGAAUUUGGAAGUUUAUGUAGAUAUUGCUCUACACAUACCACUCUCUUCUCUAAAGUAACGAGUUUUCUCUGAGAAGAAAAAGGUGAAGAUUCCUGCCCCCAUUAUGCAAGCACUUGGCACCCGAGAAGAAAAGUUUUAUUGCCGUUUGAAUGGAAGCAGAUGGCUCCAGGUCUGACACUGGGGACUGAAACUGUCUUUGUGAGACUAAUGAAAGACCAGAAGACUAGGAUUAUGGGAAAGGCCUAAAUUCUAGGAUGUAGUUAAACAGUAACCAGCCAUUGUUCUCUAGCUUGACUCUCAUAAUUCCUUAAUGCUUAAGAGUCAUGCAGCCAGAAAUCACAGGAUUUAUGACUUCCAUAAUUCCUCCUAUAGAUAACAAUACAUUGUCAAAACCCAAGCUUGGUCUUUGAGACAUUUUGCAGACUUUUUAAUUAUGACUGACUCCACCAGGACUAAUGACUCAUAUCAAGGAACUGACUCAACUGGUGACCUCCACCCGGGAACUGACAGCAUGCUCAGACAGUAUGGACACUCCUGUGAUUUCAUGGCUAAUCAAUCAGCAGCACCCAUUCCUAAUUCAUGUCUGUCAAAUUAUCCUUAAAAAUCCUGAUUUUCAAGCUCUCAAAGAAGUGGAUUUCAGAAAUGUCUCUUGUUCUUCCUCUUGGCCAGCCCUGUGAUAAUUAGUUUCUUUGCUGCAAACCUGCUGUCCUCAGUGCAUUAGCUUUUUCUGGACAGCAGGCAAGAAGAAUCCAUUGAGCUCUUACAAAAUUCAACAUUUAUUCACAGUUUAAAGAAAUCUGUAGAAGAAUAAUUGCAAAGGAAAUACAAAUUAUGUCAAUAACCAACUCCAUGCUUAAUCAUAAUCAAUAAAAACUUUCUCAC
RNAcentral lists this long non-coding RNA (1006 nucleotides) under Pongo abelii (Sumatran orangutan). Its description in RNAcentral is "lncRNA (ENSPPYG00000040046.1)". The record is from RNAcentral. Lineage: Eukaryota; Metazoa; Chordata; Mammalia; Primates; Hominidae.